This 253-nucleotide ribosomal RNA is filed under the name uncultured bacterium. Its description in RNAcentral is "partial 16S ribosomal RNA". It matches the Rfam family "Bacterial small subunit ribosomal RNA", at positions 524 to 776 of the family's 1533-position model. The record is from RNAcentral.
UACGGAGGAUCCAAGCGUUAUCCGGAAUCAUUGGGUUUAAAGGGUCCGUAGGCGGGUUAUUAAGUCAGUGGUGAAAGUUUUCGGCUUAACCGAAAAAUUGCCAUUGAUACUGGUAGUCUUGAAUUAUUGUGAAGUAACUAGAAUAUGUAGUGUAGCGGUGAAAUGCUUAGAUAUUACAUGGAAUACCAAUUGCGAAGGCAGCUUACUAUGGUGCAAUUGACGCUGAGGCACGAAAGCGUGGGGAUCGAACAGG